GAUGAAGAACGCAGCGAAAUGCGAUACGUAAUGCGAAUUGCAAAUUCAGUGAAUCAUCGAGUCUUUGAACGCACAUUGCGCCCCCUGGUAUUCCGGGGGGCAUGCCUGUCCGAGCGUCAUUGCUGCCCUCAAGCACGGCUUGUGUGUUGGGCCCCGUCCUCCGAUCCCGGGGGACGGGCCCGAAAGGCAGCGGCGGCACCGCGUCCGGUCCUCGAGCGUAUGGGGCUUUGUCACCCGCUCUGUAGGCCCGGCCGGCGCUUGCCGAUCAACCCAAAUUUUUAUCCAGGUUGACCUCGGAUCAGGUAGGGAUACCCGCUGAACUUAAGCAUAUCAAUAAGCGGAGGA
Molecule: unclassified non-coding RNA, 345 nt
Filed under: soil metagenome
Description: partial contains 5.8S ribosomal RNA, internal transcribed spacer 2, and large subunit ribosomal RNA
Rfam family: 5.8S ribosomal RNA (bases 1-119)
Source: RNAcentral